Molecule: long non-coding RNA, 963 nt
Organism: Austrofundulus limnaeus
Lineage: Eukaryota; Metazoa; Chordata; Actinopteri; Cyprinodontiformes; Rivulidae
Exons: 3
Source: RefSeq, a predicted model, not a curated record
UGUUGUUUAUUUUUAUUCUGAAGCGGAUUUGUUCAAAACCGGAAGUAGAAAAAGCCGAAACCGGAAAUGAUUUUAAAAGAACCACAAUAGGUAAAGAAAAACAUGAGAAAACUUCUACAUUUACAGUUAAAUAAUUGUCAAACAUGUACAGAGGCUAAAGAUAGCAGGAGUGUUUGGAAACUUCAUCUGUGAUGAACCACAGACUGCUCUCUGCAUGACGACGGCUACGAUUCCUGGAAAAGCCAGUCAGCUGACAAACAUGAGAUGAUGUGGUCGUGUUUGUUUUGUUGUGCGGACAUUGCUCUCACCACUCGUCACCGGGGCAGUUUGGAUCAAGGUUAAAGAGGCUGGAAUUCAAUUCUCCUCCUCCGUGUCUGAGGCUGUGGACAGGAUGGAUGAGUUGUUAUCAAAGGUACUGUACUAAGUUCUUAAGGCUUCAAACCCCAGUCCUCAAACUGUGGGACCCGUGUCACUGCUGGUACCCUGGACCUCUCUUGUGGUUCUCAGAAGUCACUGAAUUGUGAUAAAAAGCUAUAGAGAUAAAGAUGAGUGGUUUAACCAGAUUACAGUCUUGGCUUCUAUCAGAAACGACUUGAAACAAAAGAGAAGUGGAUAUUUUUGAGAACCCCUGUGGCAUCUGGAGUGAGUGGUUUUUAACCCGUGUCCUAGUGGCUACUUAAGCUGCACCAGUAAGUCUCUGUAGGAGCUUUUAGCUGCUUAAAGUGCCAAACUGCAGAGAAAUGUUUGUUUUGUGAGGCAGAAUAAAACUGCAGUGAGUGUGUGGAUCAUGUUGUCAUCCCAGCCUUCAGCCUGGGUUAGGUGUGUUUUUGUUUGUUUGUAUCUCAGUAGCUUCCUUCUAUGAUCAGAUUGUUUGGAGUCGGGAGUUAAAGACGAGGUACAGGCUGUUUUCAGGUUAAUUAGGAUUCCAUCUAUUCAGUUUAAAAGUUAAAAUGUGAAGAUAGU